GGGUUAGUAACGCGUGGGAAUGUACCCUUCUCUACGGAAUAGCCUCGGGAAACUGAGAGUAAUACCGUAUACGCCCUUCGGGGGAAAGAUUUAUCGGAGAAGGAUCAGCCCGCGUAAGAUUAGAUAGUUGGUGGGGUAAUGGCCUACCAAGUCUACGAUCUUUAGCUGGUUUUAGAGGAUGAUCAGCAACACUGGGACUGAGACACGGCCCAGACUCCUACGGGAGGCAGCAGUGGGGAAUCUUGGACAAUGGGCGCAAGCCUGAUCCAGCCAUGCCGCGUGUGUGAUGAAGGUCUUAGGGUCGUAAAGCACUUUCGCUAGAGAUGAUAAUGACAGUAUCUAGUAAAGAAGUCCCGGCUAACUCCGUGCCAGCAGCCGCGGUAAUACGGAGGGGACUAGCGUUGUUCGGAAUUACUGGGCGUAAAGCGUACGUAGGCGGAUCAGAAAGUAUGGGGUGAAAUCCCAGGGCUCAACCCUGGAACUGCCUCAUAAACUCCUGGUCUAGAGUUCGAGAGAGGUGAGUGGAAUUCCGAGUGUAGAGGUGAAAUUCGUAGAUAUUCGGAGGAACACCAGUGGCGAAGGCGGCUCACUGGCUCGAUACUGACGCUGAGGUACGAAAGUGUGGGGAGCAAACAGGAUUAGAUACCCUGGUAGUCCACACCGUAAACGAUGAAUGCCAGUCGUCGGGUAGCAUGC
RNAcentral lists this ribosomal RNA (696 nucleotides) under uncultured Alphaproteobacteria bacterium. RNAcentral's name for it is "bacterial SSU rRNA". It matches the Rfam family "Bacterial small subunit ribosomal RNA", at positions 104 to 835 of the family's 1533-position model. The record is from RNAcentral. Lineage: Bacteria; Pseudomonadati; Pseudomonadota; Alphaproteobacteria.